AUUGAACGCUGGCGGCGUGCCUUACACAUGCAAGUCGAACGGCAGCGCGGGGCAACCUAGCGGCGAGUGGCGAACGGGUGAGUAAAAUAUCGGAACAUACCCUAGAGUGGGGGAUAACGUAGCGAAAGUUACGCUAAUACCGCAUACGCACUAAGGUGGAAAGUGGGGGAUCUUCGGACCUCAUGCUCAUGGAGUGGCCGAUAUCUGAUUAGCUAGUUGGUGAGGUAAAGGCUCACCAAGGCGACGAUCAGUAGCUGGUUUGAGAGAACGACCAGCCACACUGGAACUGAGACACGGUCCAGACUCCUACGGGAGGCAGCAGUGGGGAAUUUUGGACAAUGGGGGGCAACCCUGAUCCAGCAAUGCCGCGUGAGUGAAGAAGGCCUU
This 387-nucleotide ribosomal RNA is filed under the name uncultured bacterium. Its description in RNAcentral is "bacterial SSU rRNA". It matches the Rfam family "Bacterial small subunit ribosomal RNA", at positions 30 to 418 of the family's 1533-position model. The record is from RNAcentral.